This 358-nucleotide ribosomal RNA is filed under the name uncultured bacterium. RNAcentral's name for it is "bacterial SSU rRNA". It matches the Rfam family "Bacterial small subunit ribosomal RNA", at positions 28 to 404 of the family's 1533-position model. The record is from RNAcentral.
GAUGAACGCUAGCGGCAGGCCUAAUACAUGCAAGGCGAGGGGUUGGCAACAACACCGUCGUACGGGUGCGUAACGCGUAUGCAACCUACCUAUCACAGGGGGAUAGCCUUUGGAAACAGGGAUUAAUACCGCAUAAAAGCAGGGGCUUGGCAUCAAGAUACUGCUAAAGAUUUACCGGUGAUAGAUGGGCAUGCGUCUGAUUAGUUAGAUGGUGAGGUAACGGCUCACCAUGACGAUGAUCAGUAGGGGCGUCAGAGCGUGGUCCCCCACACUGGCACUGAGAUACGGCCAGACUCCUACGGGAGCAGCAGUGGGAAUAUUGCACAAUGGGGAACCCUGAUGCAGCCAUGCCGCGUGU